GAUGAACGCUGGCGGCGUGCUUACCUUCUGAAGGUCGAACGAACCUUCGGGUUAGUGGCGGACGGGUGAGUAACGCGUGAGAAUCUGCCCUCAGGAGGGGCCUCACGGCUGGAAACGGCCGCUAAUACCCCAUAUGCCGCGAGGUGAAAUGAAUUUCGCCUGAGGAUGAGCUCGCGUCUGAUUAGCUAGUUGGUGGGGUAAAGGCCUACCAAGGCAUCGAUCAGUAGCUGGUCUGAGAGGAUGAUCAGCCACACUGGGACUGAGACACGGCCCAAACUCCUACGGGAGGCAGCAGUGGGGAAUUUUCCGCAAUGGGCGAAAGCCUGACGGAGCACCUCUUCGUGAGGGAUGAAGGCCUCUGGGCUGUAAACCUCUUUUAUCAAGGAAGAAGAUCUGACGGUACUUGAUGAAUAAGCCACGGCUAAUUCCGUG
This 432-nucleotide ribosomal RNA is filed under the name uncultured bacterium. RNAcentral describes it as "bacterial SSU rRNA". It matches the Rfam family "Bacterial small subunit ribosomal RNA", at positions 28 to 507 of the family's 1533-position model. The record is from RNAcentral.